This 253-nucleotide ribosomal RNA is filed under the name uncultured bacterium. RNAcentral describes it as "partial 16S ribosomal RNA". It matches the Rfam family "Bacterial small subunit ribosomal RNA", at positions 524 to 776 of the family's 1533-position model. The record is from RNAcentral.
UACAGAGGUCUCAAGCAUUGUUCGGAUUCAUUGGGCGUAAAGGGUGUGUAGGUGGCGCGCUAAGUCGGGUGUGAAAUUUCGGAGCUUAACUCCGAAACUGCAUUCGAUACUGGCGUGCUUGAGGACUGGAGAGGAGACUGGAAUUCAUGGUGUAGCAGUGAAAUGCGUAGAUAUCAUGAGGAAGACCAGUGGCGAAGGCGGAUCUCUGGACAGUUCCUGACACUGAGGCACGAAGGCCAGGGGAGCAAACGGG